This 253-nucleotide ribosomal RNA is filed under the name uncultured bacterium. RNAcentral's name for it is "partial 16S ribosomal RNA". It matches the Rfam family "Bacterial small subunit ribosomal RNA", at positions 524 to 776 of the family's 1533-position model. The record is from RNAcentral.
UACGUAGGGAGCAAGCGUUGUCCGGAAUCAUUGGGCGUAAAGAGCGUGUAGGCGGUCCUGUAAGUCCGCUGUGAAAGUCAAGGGCUCAACCCUUGAAUGCCGGUGGAUACUGCAGGACUAGAGUCCGGAAGAGGUAGCUGGAAUUCCCGGUGUAGCGGUGAAAUGCGCAGAUAUCAGGAGGAACACCGGUGGCGAAGGCGGGUCUCUGGGCCGAAAUUGACGCUGAGGAGCGAAAGCGUGGGGAGCAAACAGG